RNAcentral lists this ribosomal RNA (465 nucleotides) under uncultured bacterium. RNAcentral's name for it is "partial 16S ribosomal RNA". It matches the Rfam family "Bacterial small subunit ribosomal RNA", at positions 339 to 795 of the family's 1533-position model. The record is from RNAcentral.
CUACGGGUGGCAGCAGUGAGGAAUUUUGCGCAAUGGGGGCAACCCUGACGCAGCAACGCCGCGUGAGUGAAGAAGGCCUUUGGGUCGUAAAACUCUGUCAAUGGGGAAGAAGUUACUAUGUUUAAAUAGAGUGUAGUAUUGACGGUACCCAUGAAGGAAGCACCGGCUAACUCCGUGCCAGCAGCCGCGGUAAUACGGGGGGUGCAAGCGUUAUUCGGAAUUAUUGGGCGUAAAGGGCACGCAGGCGGUCUUGCCAGUCAGAUGUGAAAGCCCGGGGCUCAACCCUGGAAGUGCAUUUGAAACUACAAGACUUGAGUACGGUAGAGGAAAGGGGAAUUCCUGGUGUAGAGGUGAAAUUCGUAGAUAUCAGGAGGAACACCGGUGGCGAAGGCGCCUUUCUGGACCGAAACUGACGCUGAGGUGCGAAGGCGUGGGUAGCGAACAGGAUUAGAUACCCGCGUAGUC